Molecule: ribosomal RNA, 217 nt
Filed under: Campeiostachys nutans
Lineage: Eukaryota; Viridiplantae; Streptophyta; Magnoliopsida; Poales; Poaceae
Description: Elymus nutans partial small subunit ribosomal RNA
Rfam family: Eukaryotic small subunit ribosomal RNA (bases 40-217)
Source: RNAcentral
GGGUCAGUAGGUUGGUCAUGCCACUGGUAUGUACUGGUCUCACUGAUUCCUCCUUCCUGAUGAGCUGUAAUGCCAUUAAUUUGGUGUUGCGGGGAAUCUGGACUGUUACUUUGAAAAAAUUAGAGUGUUUAAAGCAGGCCAAAUGCUUGAAUACAUUAGCAUGGAAUAAUAGAAUAGGACGCGUGGUUCUAUUUUGUUGGUUUCUAGAGUCGCCGUA